This is a long non-coding RNA of Lytechinus variegatus (green sea urchin), 735 nucleotides long. RefSeq lists it as uncharacterized. The record is from RefSeq and is a predicted model, not a curated record. NCBI's taxonomy places the organism in Eukaryota, Metazoa, Echinodermata, Echinoidea, Temnopleuroida, Toxopneustidae. The transcript is spliced from 3 exons.
UUUCUGACAGUAUUAGCAGAUGCCCACUUCCCGACCAGUUCAAUUUGUUCACAUGGACCUCGAGAAGUAAGAGCUGAUGGUCACAGUAUACCAGCCCUCCUUGAUGCCAUCCUGACUCUGUUGCCCUUGGAUACGUAUGUGCCAUCUCCCGGAAGCAAGCCAAAUAAAAAAGUGAAGGGGAAGUGAAGAGAGAGGUGGCUUACAAGAGAAGAAAGAUGAGGGAUGCAAUACCACAUCGAGAUAGUACGUGACCGAGCAGGUUGCCUGCUAAAAAGAGGACAGGGAUUCUCCUAAUUUGGUCAAAGCGGAGGAAGUAAGGUGUGGAUCGUGGACAUUUGUUUAACCUGCCACUUCACGCUGAAUGGGAUGUCCCGGUUUUCAGGGGUCAUCCGUAGACGUCAACGUCAACGCCAGUGACCGGUCUUGGAACAGGAUGUGGGCAUUCUGUGCCACCGGUUGCCAGGCUGGAACUGGAGUUGUAUUUGUUUAUGUUUUUACGCGGCAGACAAUUCAUGCGUUGGAUGUUAUCAUUCUAUGUCUAGGGAUGGCUUUUAACGUCACCGUCAGAUGGGUAUGACUAGUUUAGGACCAUUCUAUUGAAGGUGAUUUUGUUGGUUAUAUCAAAGACAAAGGAGCUGAUUUCUAGACAGAUAACUCAUCCUCCCCUGUCAAAAGUUUAUGAGUCAGAAGAUGCCAAACCAAAAUAUUGAUUGCAUAUGAUUUUGCCCCCUUACC